RNAcentral lists this non-coding RNA (29 nucleotides) under Mus musculus (house mouse). The record is from RNAcentral. Lineage: Eukaryota; Metazoa; Chordata; Mammalia; Rodentia; Muridae.
UGAAAUUGCAGCUUUACGUGUUUUGUAAC